UACGUAGGGUGCAAGCGUUGUCCGGAAUUAUUGGGCGUAAAGAGCUCGUAGGCGGUUUGUCGCGUCUGCUGUGAAAACUCGGGGCUUAACCCCGGGCCUGCAGUGGGUACGGGCAGACUAGAGUGCGGUAGGGGAGACUGGAAUUCCUGGUGUAGCGGUGAAAUGCGUAGAUAUUGGGAGGAACACCGGUGGCGAAGGCGGCAUCCUGGACCAACACUGACACUGAGGAGCGAAAGCCAGGGGAGCAAACGGG
RNAcentral lists this ribosomal RNA (253 nucleotides) under uncultured bacterium. RNAcentral's name for it is "partial 16S ribosomal RNA". It matches the Rfam family "Bacterial small subunit ribosomal RNA", at positions 524 to 776 of the family's 1533-position model. The record is from RNAcentral.